This 253-nucleotide ribosomal RNA is filed under the name uncultured bacterium. RNAcentral describes it as "partial 16S ribosomal RNA". It matches the Rfam family "Bacterial small subunit ribosomal RNA", at positions 524 to 776 of the family's 1533-position model. The record is from RNAcentral.
UACGAAGGGGGCUAGCGUUGCUCGGAAUCACUGGGCGUAAAGGGCGCGUAGGCGGUUCGUUAAGUCCUGUGUGAAAUCCCCCGGCUCAACUGGGGAACUGCACAGGAAACUAGCGGGCUUGAGUUCGGGAGAGGGAAGCGGAAUUCCGGGUGUAGCGGUGAAAUGCGUAGAUAUGCGGAGGAACACCGAUGGCGAAGGCAAUCCCCUGGACCUGUACUGACGCUCAUGCACGAAAGCGUGGGGGGCAAACAGG